AGAGUUUGAUCCUGGCUCAGGACGAACGCUGGCGGCGUGCUUAACACAUGCAAGUCGAACGGUGAACCUGCUUCGGUGGGGGAUCAGUGGCGAACGGGUGAGUAACACGUGGGCAACCUGCCCCUGGCUCUGGGAUAACUCCAAGAAAUUGGUGCUAAUACCGGAUGUGACCGCUGACCGCAUGGUCUGGUGGUGGAAAGAUUCAUCGGCUGAGGAUGGGCCCGCGGCCUAUCAGCUUGUUGGUGGGGUAAUGGCCCACCAAGGCGACGACGGGUAGCCGGCCUGAGAGGGUGACCGGCCACACUGGGACUGAGACACGGCCCAGACUCCUACGGGAGGCAGCAGUGGGGAAUAUUGCGCAAUGGGCGAAAGCCUGACGCAGCGACGCCGCGUGAGGGAUGACGGCCUUCGGGUUGUAAACCUCUUUCAGUAGGGACGAAGCGCAAGUGACGGUACCUGCAGAAGAAGCGCCGGCCAACUACGUGCCAGCAGCCGCGGUAAGACGUAGGGCGCGAGCGUUGUCCGGAUUUAUUGGGCGUAAAGAGCUCGUAGGCGGCUUGUCGCGUCGACUGUGAAAACCCGCGGCUCAACCGCGGGCCUGCAGCCGAUACGGGCAGGCUAGAGUUCGGUAGGGGAGACUGGAAUUCCUGGUGUAGCGGUGAAAUGCGCAGAUAUCAGGAGGAACACCGAUGGCGAAGGCAGGUCUCUGGGCCGAUACUGACGCUGAGGAGCGAAAGCGUGGGGAGCGAACAGGAUUAGAUACCCUAGUAGUCC
RNAcentral lists this ribosomal RNA (774 nucleotides) under uncultured bacterium. Its description in RNAcentral is "bacterial SSU rRNA". It matches the Rfam family "Bacterial small subunit ribosomal RNA", at positions 8 to 796 of the family's 1533-position model. The record is from RNAcentral.